GACGAACGCUGGCGGCGUGCUUAACACAUGCAAGUCGAACGGUAAGGCCUUGCGGGGGUACCGAGUGGCGAACGGGUGAGUAAGACGGGGGUGAGCGGGGCAGCACUUCGUGAGCAGGGCGGGAAACUGGGACAAGUAUGGUAUAGGAGUGUGCAGUCCUUACCGAGAGGUGGAAAGAUUGAACGAUGCAGGAGCGGCACGCGGCCAAUCAGCUGCUUGGUGGGGUAAUGGUGUACCCGGGCGAGGACGGGAAGCCGGCCUGAGAGGGCGACCGGCCACACUGGGCCUGGGGCACGGCCCAGAGUCCUACGGGAGGCAGCGGUGGGGAAUAUUGCACAAUGGGCCGAAGCCUGAUGCAGCGACGCCGCGUGGGGGAUGACGGCCUUCGGGUUGUAAACCUCUUUCAGCAGGGACGAGGCGUGAGUGACGGUACCUGCAGAAGAAGCACCGGCCAACUACGUG
This 462-nucleotide ribosomal RNA is filed under the name uncultured bacterium. Its description in RNAcentral is "partial 16S ribosomal RNA". It matches the Rfam family "Bacterial small subunit ribosomal RNA", at positions 28 to 507 of the family's 1533-position model. The record is from RNAcentral.